Molecule: long non-coding RNA, 285 nt
Filed under: Elaeis guineensis (African oil palm)
Lineage: Eukaryota; Viridiplantae; Streptophyta; Magnoliopsida; Arecales; Arecaceae
Description: long non-coding RNA (EGUI_LNC080766)
Source: RNAcentral
GGCUGCUCCUCCCUCCUCGACGGUUCAGGUUGCGGCAGGGCCCUUGGCCGAUCUUCUCUACCCUCAAGCCGACGUCGGAUGAACCUGUCAAGUCGACCUCGCCGGAUAAGCUCCUCGAUCUCAUCUCGGAGCUGGAUGCAUUCCUCUGUGUCGUGGCCGUUGUCGCGGUGGUAGAGACAGAACUUGUUGGGGUUGCGCUUCCCGGGGUAUGUGCGCAUCCUCUCUGGCCUAGAGAGCUGCUCCCUGACCUCCAUCAGUACUUGGGUCUUCGAGGCAUUGAGGGGG